GUGGAAACGGCUGGGCGCGCUGGUGAUGUUCCCUCUACAGAUGAUCUAUCUGGUGGUGAAAGCAGCCGUCGGACUGGUGCUGCCCGCCAAGCUGCGGGACCUGUCGCGGGAGAACGUCCUCAUCACCGGCGGCGGGAGAGGCAUCGGGCGUCAGCUCGCCCGCGAGUUCGCGGAGCGCGGCGCCAGAAAAUUGUUCUCUGGGGCCGGACUGAGAAAUGCCUGAAGGAGACG
This 231-nucleotide long non-coding RNA is filed under the name Homo sapiens (human). RNAcentral describes it as "non-protein coding lnc-PRAMEF11-3:1". The record is from RNAcentral. Lineage: Eukaryota; Metazoa; Chordata; Mammalia; Primates; Hominidae.